GGCCUUCUGGUGCUUGCCACAGGCUGUGUUCUUGCACUGCCUGUGCAGAGGGAGGAGGCAGAGUGGACCCACCCCAUAUACACCUCAGACGGGCCCUUUGCCUGGUCUGUGUUAUGAAUGGGGGGACAUGG
Molecule: small nucleolar RNA, 131 nt
Organism: Phyllostomus discolor (pale spear-nosed bat)
Lineage: Eukaryota; Metazoa; Chordata; Mammalia; Chiroptera; Phyllostomidae
Product: small nucleolar RNA SNORA51
Exons: 1
Source: RefSeq, a predicted model, not a curated record